GAAAACUGCAAAAGAAUACAAAAAUGGCAUAUAGGGAGACUCAUCAGAAAAAGGGGAAGACAUGCAUCCCUUUCAAACCCACCACGUCACCUUUCUCCCCAGAGGGAAAGGGACAAGCCAAUCUUUGCAAUAGAGCUCAAGAAAACCUAGGGCUAGAAUCAGUGCCGGAUUUAAGCAGGAAAAUGCUUGGCAAGAUGGACAUCUCAUUUUCGUAUAGCCCUAACGAAGAUGAAGACAACAACCACCCUAUACCAUCACUGCCAUAAAUGCCAACCGACGAGAGAACACCCCAAUGACAGACUAAAAAUAGAUGAGCCAAUCUAUUAUGGAACCCUCUCAUUGAUGUAUAAAUCUGGCAAACCAGCAAACAACCUACACCAAAAAUAUACAGGGUCACCUGACAGGAGGAUGAAGGUGGAUCCACCCUUCAGAUGGGAGGAGGGACCUUCCCUUGCCCAAAG
Molecule: unclassified non-coding RNA, 461 nt
Filed under: Hevea brasiliensis (rubber tree)
Lineage: Eukaryota; Viridiplantae; Streptophyta; Magnoliopsida; Malpighiales; Euphorbiaceae
Source: RNAcentral